CCACCCUCCUAUGAUCUCAUACUGGAUUGGUUCUAAAAAGAGUCUGGAGUUCUCAUGAACUGGAUUCUUGAAUGCAGCUUCUGGAGAUUUGAGCCACAUUAAGCAGAAACACCUUCCUCUUCUACUUCAAAAUGUGAAAACAUUUGGCAGGACAGCUCAGGCAAAAAUCAUAGGAAAUGGUGCCACCAGUCAUCUCAGAGGAUGCAGGAAGAAGGAAGAAGGUGAACAAAAGCCUCUCAGUUGCAUUGCAACCGCACACCAAUGGCAACAAAAAAAGAGCCUAAUGAACCUGCUGAAACGUAUGGCCCUAAUGAAGAUGAAAGUCUUUCUUCUUACCUAGAAACACACACACACAAAAGAAAUUAAAAAAGAAAUGACAAGGUGCCAGCUGCUCUGAGAGAUUUUAGAGGCACAACUGGAUCUGCAAAAAGGAAGAAAGGAAGGGAAAAAAGAAAAAGCUGUUUCCCUGGGGUUCUUCUGCAGGACCAUUCUUCAUUGCUGCUGAGUCUGCAUUAAAUGGCGCAGCUGGCUGAAGGAGGAAAGCUUCUGGGUGGAGGGGAAUACAGAGAUAUAUAUUUUUAAUGGGCUCAUAAGUUCCUAGAGAAGAGAAAUGAAGGGCUGUUAAGCUUCUUGAGCUGAAAAGUUCUUGUGAUCCCAAGGAGCCUGAGUGCUGCAUUGCCUCUGGUGAUUGUCAGCUCUCUGCAAUCUCUACUCCAUUUGUUAUUUUAUUUCUGUGAGAACAAACAGUCUAUCACCUGAUAAGAUUUAUAACUAAUACUGAGCAGGAUUAUACAGAAAAUACUGAAACUUGUACUGUAAGGCUUGUUGGUUUUCACUAAGAUCUGCUCCAGAAUAGCGAGACAUUAAUACACCAGCUUUCUCCUCUGGAAGCCUGCUGUCAAGGCUCAGUUUGACUUUACCAGUGAAAGAAGAUUGUCUUUUUAUCUCCAGCCCCUCGCAGCCUCCUGGGGACAAGGGAUCUUU
Molecule: long non-coding RNA, 984 nt
Filed under: Phasianus colchicus (ring-necked pheasant)
Lineage: Eukaryota; Metazoa; Chordata; Aves; Galliformes; Phasianidae
Description: lncRNA (ENSPCLG00000000650.1)
Source: RNAcentral